Molecule: ribosomal RNA, 244 nt
Filed under: uncultured anaerobic ammonium-oxidizing bacterium
Lineage: Bacteria
Description: partial 16S ribosomal RNA
Rfam family: Bacterial small subunit ribosomal RNA
Source: RNAcentral
GGAGUUAGGAAAUGUAGAUACGCUAAUAUCGUAUCUAUUUGACAAAGGCUCCAAAGGAAGCCACGGCUAACUCUGUGCCAGCAGCCGCGGUAAUACAGAGGUGGCAAGCGUUGUUCGGAAUUAUUGGUCGUAAAGAGCACGUAGGUGGAUUUGUAAGUCAGAUGUGAAAGCCUUCUGUUCAACGGAAGAAUUGCAUCUGAAACUACAAACCUUGAGUAUAGGAGGGGAGAGUGGAACUUCUGGU